CCUACGGGAGGCAGCAGUGGGGAAUAUUGCACAAUGGGGGGAACCCUGAUGCAGCGACGCCGCGUGAGUGAAGAAGUAUUUCGGUAUGUAAAGCUCUGUCAGCAGGGAAGAAAAUGACGGUACCUGAGUAAGAAUCCCCGGCUAACUACGUGCCAGCAGCCGCGGUAAUACGUAGGGGGCAAGCGUUAUCCGGAUUUACUGGGUGUAAAGGGAGCGUAGACGGCAGUGCAAGUCUGGAGUGAAAGGCGGGGGCUCAACCCCCGGACUGCUCUGGAAACUGUACGGCUGGAGUGCAGGAGAGGUAAGUGGAAUUCCUAGUGUAGCGGUGAAAUGCGUAGAUAUUAGGAGGAACACCAGUGGCGAAGGCGGCUUACUGGACUGUAACUGACGUUGAGGCUCGAAAGCGUGGGGAGCAAACAGGAUUAGAUACCCUUGUAGUC
This 440-nucleotide ribosomal RNA is filed under the name uncultured bacterium. Its description in RNAcentral is "partial 16S ribosomal RNA". It matches the Rfam family "Bacterial small subunit ribosomal RNA", at positions 338 to 795 of the family's 1533-position model. The record is from RNAcentral.